Hyaena hyaena (striped hyena) is the source of this 244-nucleotide long non-coding RNA. RefSeq lists it as uncharacterized. NCBI's taxonomy places the organism in Eukaryota, Metazoa, Chordata, Mammalia, Carnivora, Hyaenidae. The record is from RefSeq and is a predicted model, not a curated record. The transcript has 3 exons.
CCCCAAAAUGAGUGCAUGCACUUUAACGUUUGAAAACUACUGCAAGAAUGAGGUACAUCUGGCAACUUCCUUCCCCUUUACCCCAAAGAAAACAGCAGAACCAUGGCUCCUUAACUCAGGACUCUUUUUUCACAAAACUAGCUCUGCAAGAUGUAACCUUGGCUUCUCAGGAAAUGGAAAGAACUACUCCUCCUGAAGCUCUCUGGUUUGCUCCAUUAUGGACUGGAUGCCCUCCAUGACUGUC